UGAAUGGGAUGUGCCUCAGCACAGAAAU
Molecule: non-coding RNA, 28 nt
Filed under: Rattus norvegicus (Norway rat)
Lineage: Eukaryota; Metazoa; Chordata; Mammalia; Rodentia; Muridae
Source: RNAcentral